RNAcentral lists this ribosomal RNA (497 nucleotides) under uncultured bacterium. Its description in RNAcentral is "partial 16S ribosomal RNA". It matches the Rfam family "Bacterial small subunit ribosomal RNA", at positions 28 to 507 of the family's 1533-position model. The record is from RNAcentral.
GAUGAACGCUGGCGGCGUGCCUAAUACAUGCAAGUCGAGCGAACAGACGAGGAGCUUGCUCCUCUGACGUUAGCGGCGGACGGGUGAGUAACACGUGGAUAACCUACCUAUAAGACUGGGAUAACUUCGGGAAACCGGAGCUAAUACCGGAUAAUAUAUUGAACCGCAUGGUUCAAUAGUGAAAGACGGUUUUGCUGUCACUUAUAGAUGGAUCCGCGCCGCAUUAGCUAGUUGGUAAGGUAACGGCUUACCAAGGCAACGAUGCGUAGCCGACCCGAGAGGGUGAUCGGACACACUGGAACUGAGACACGGCCCAGACUCCUACGGGAGGCCGCAGUAGGGAAUCUUACGCGAUGCGCGAAAGCCUGACGGAGCAACGCCGCGUGAGUGAUGAAGGUCUUCGGAUCGUAAAACUCUGUUAUUAGGGAAGAACAAAUGUGUAAGUAGCUAUGCACGUCUUGACGGUACCUAAUCAGAAAGCCACGGCUAACUACGUG